UCUUGAGUUAUGGCCAAAAACGUGUUUUGUGAGGUCACAUUGACAUUUGACGUCCAAAAUCUAAUCAGGUCAUUCUUGAGUCCAGGUGGACGUUUGUGCCAAAUUUGAAGAAAUUCCCUCCAGGCGUUUCUCAGAUAUCGUGUUCACGAAAAUGGGAUGGAAGUAUGGACAACCCAAAAACAUAAUGCCUCCGGCCACGGCUGUUGCCAACACGUAGGGAUUCAAAUUAAAACGUAAAUACGGUAGUGGGAAAAAAAGUUGCACCUCGACAGUCAUGCUUGUUGGAAUUAAAAUAUCAUCACUUUGUUUUUGCCAUAAUUAUUAUUUUAUAAAAAAUAACCUUAAAGCAACUGGCUGAUAGUACAUUGAACUUUGUACUGUGUUGCACCAGACAAAGGAAAAUUUCCCCAACAAUUGGCUGUUGGUAAAUUUCCAUCCUGCAGGAGGUUUCUUCUAACUGUCACCAUUGUUAUUCUGCUUAAUUAAUUGAAGUUUGAUUAUGGUAAAUAAUUUGCCCAGUAGCAAUGUCAAAUAGAGCUGAAUUCUACAGUUUGAUUUUAAGCCUAAGAACUACCAAAAUCUUUGAAUUCAGUAACGAUGACCGUGAAAAAUUAAUCAACCACUAUAAUCAAGCUGUGUCACCCCUGCGGCAGUGCCGCUGAAGAGGACCAGCAGAGGGGAUCCCCCACCCACGCCCUCUUUGUUCUCUUCCUGUACACUUACGGUAAUAUCUCGCUUUUCUCAAUCACCUUCACUUGUCUUUGUUCCAGCUCUAUGAAUGCUUGUGAAAUAAUGGAGGAUUUUUCUUUACCUUUAUUUAUAUAAAGCAGAGUUUUUCAAACAAAUAAAACAACAUCAUGCAAUACGCCAAUAUGUGUUCGAGUUGCAUUUCAACCUCGCACCCACUCGCCCCGGAAAUGCGAACUGUUCACGGAGGGGAGACCGCAGGGUAGGAAAUCAUACUACCGACAGUGGGAGUAGGAAGUAAACUACUUAAUUAAAACAGGGGCUAAAUAAAAUCGGCCUGAUAGUGUAAUAGUUUGAAAUACAAAUGCUGUACUACUUAAUGAGUUUUUACCUCAUGUGCCUAGCUUUCACUGGAGUCUGAACUGUAAGAAAGAGAAGAAAGAUGACUAAUAUUUCUUUUAAGUCACCCACCCACACACACACAGACACACACACACACACACACAUACACCAUAGUUGGUGCAAAUUACACAGCAACAGUGCAUUUUUUUUAGACAUGAAUUUUAUUUGGCUUAAAUGGUGAAAUGGCAUAAUAAACACACCACGAAAUAACAAAACAAAAUGCAUCAUCACUGUGUGACCAAAUGACAACUUUGAGUCAAAACAAAACAAACAAAAUCGGCACUGAUAGCAGAAGCUACGUAAUAGUGAAAUACAGAAAUACAUAAUACUAAACAAUAAAGAUAUUUAGCAUAUACAGUAGGUUUGGCCCUGUCUAGGUGUUCUGAAUAUAUAUAUAUAUAUAUUUGUAUUUAUUUAUUUAUUAAGAAACUAAAAUGUUACAGUAUUAGUUAACUCUCACCAAUACUGACCUUUUAUUAAAGUGCUAAUAGCAAGUCUAUGUCAUUUAUCAUCGGUAUGAUGGAGAUCUAUUUCGAAUCGUAACAGAAAAGCCUAUAAAACUUGGAUUUAAAUUUUAUUUUACCGCACGUGUCCUUUAUUCUUCAUUUAGUGGCAGCAGCAUUACACUACUUUUUUCAGAAUGUCUUUAUUUAAUUAAAAUGUAAUUUGUAAAAUCAAGUUUUUAUUUGUCGUAGUAAAAAAACAAACAUUAUUUCAGUCAAACCAUUUUUCUAAAAAAAUAUUUCUCAGAUUUACAAGUGGAAAAAAAAAUUAAAAAAAUUAAAGUGUUAAUAUUCUUUAAGGAUAGUGUGAUUGUUCACUAUUUGGAAGAUUAAGAAAGUAGGUUUGUUCACUGUGUUUUAACUUUUGACACAAACUUUUGUUUUUCUCACCCGUUAACCUCUAUCUGUCAGUAAUCUUGCAGCCUCACUUUAAAGUCACACUUUGCAUUGUGUUUAACACUCUGGCUGACCACAAAGAGCAACUCUCACUGUGUGACAUGUCUUCUCUCCUGACCGAGAGCGCUAGUCAUCACAAAAAAAAAA
Molecule: long non-coding RNA, 2135 nt
Organism: Sebastes umbrosus (honeycomb rockfish)
Lineage: Eukaryota; Metazoa; Chordata; Actinopteri; Perciformes; Sebastidae
Exons: 2
Source: RefSeq, a predicted model, not a curated record